UGACGUCGCUCAGACUUGAAUUGUCAGAUUAAUGGUCAGUUUGGUUAGUAUUUCGUUUAUUCAGUAGUAUUAGUACAUCUCAGACUAUUCAGAUUAGUACUUACACAUUUGGCUUACUCCCACGUCCACUCCCAUUCCGUGCGCGCACUCCUGGCGCCUGCUUACCUUACCGGAGCGCGACGGAUGUGCCGCACCCGCAGCGCCGAAGAUAAACCGUUCUUCCUUAUCCACACGGUCAAAAUAAUCCUGUGACUUUGUAAACCAUUCUUCCUUGUCCACGCUGCUAGUGCUAGCAGAGGCGUAGCCUGUGGCUGUCUAGGUAAUAUCUGAAGUCUGAAGCCUGCCGCCUUGUGGCACAUAAUAUUCUGACCCUGGCCGGCAGAAGCAUGCCAAUUACUUACAUCUCCAUCCAUGUCAGGAACAACCAGACUGCAUCAUCUUCUGAAGAAAGAAGUCGACACUUGUCAUGCUGUUAGCUGAAGAAACCGACACUUUUCAUCUUGUUACCUGAAGAAAUCGACACUUGUCGUGCUGUUAACUAAAUGAAGAAGUCAACAGCAACCGGGCGGGCUCAUCGUCGACCAUCUGAUCUUCAUGUAGCGGCGACUUACGCUUGUACGAGAAAAAGGACUCUGAAGACUGGAGUCGUCGCUAUUUGAAUUAUUACCUUUGUUACAUUAUUACUGUCUCCUUGGUCGCCUGCUUUACUUAACCGUUAAAGUUACGUUUUACUGGUUGUAUUGGGGGUAAAACCCCGGAUCUAUCUGAGAGCAGCUCAUCUUCCUCUACUUUUGGUAAACCCCCAAUAUUCCUCUGAAUUGACCUGCUGAUAAAAGAACAUGUAGCACUGCUGAUAAGAUUCUUGAGGAAGAUGUGCUUCUCUGCUGCUCAAGCUCGUGCGUUUGCCUUGUGUAUCAGGCGCAUCACGCAUCUGGGAGUGCCCUGAA
RNAcentral lists this long non-coding RNA (947 nucleotides) under Triticum aestivum (bread wheat). Its description in RNAcentral is "long non-coding RNA (TAES_LNC023465)". The record is from RNAcentral. Lineage: Eukaryota; Viridiplantae; Streptophyta; Magnoliopsida; Poales; Poaceae.